Molecule: ribosomal RNA, 468 nt
Filed under: uncultured bacterium
Lineage: Bacteria
Description: partial 16S ribosomal RNA
Rfam family: Bacterial small subunit ribosomal RNA
Source: RNAcentral
GAUGAACGCUGGCGGCGUGCUUAACACAUGCAAGUCGAACGGAAAUGCCCUGCUUUUGUUGGGUGCCCGAGUGGUGAACGGUUGAGUAACACGUGAGUAACCUCCCCUUGACUUUGGGAUAACUUCAGGAAACUGGGGCUACUACCGGCUACGAGCUCCUGCUGCAUGGUGGGGGUUGGAAAGUUUCGGCGGUUGGGGAUGGACUCGCGGCUUACCAGCUUGUUGGUGGGGUAGUGGCUUACCAAGGCUUUGACGGGUAGUCGGCCUGAGAGGGUGACCGGCCACAUGGGGAAUGAGAUACGGCCCAGACGGCUACGGGAGGCAGCAGUGGGGAAUAUUGCACAAUAGGCGGAAGCCUGAUGCAGCAGCGCCGGGUGCGGGAUGACGGCCUUCGGGUUGUAAACCGCUUUAGCCUAUGACGAAGAGUGAGUGAAGGUAAUGUGUGAAGAAGCACCGGCUAACUACGUG